Sinocyclocheilus rhinocerous is the source of this 298-nucleotide long non-coding RNA. RefSeq lists it as uncharacterized. The transcript has 3 exons. The record is from RefSeq and is a predicted model, not a curated record. NCBI's taxonomy places the organism in Eukaryota, Metazoa, Chordata, Actinopteri, Cypriniformes, Cyprinidae.
AAACGUUAAAUGGGUGACUUAAGUUGGCGCCCAAACGAACGCAGCGUCUGCGGGCUGCUAGAUAAACAGACACGCAGAGAAAGUGCAGCUAGUGAUGCAGAUAUGCUUGAAAGAACAUAAACUCCAAAACAUUUCCACCGGCCUGUUUCUAUCUCCUCUCCAUCAGGGCUUAAGCCCCAGCGAAACACACACUCAAAAGAGGGUGAAAGUCUGGCUUGCUUUAUUAAUGAGGACCAUCUGUGCAGAGGCACAGUGAAUGAGAGAAAGAGAGAGGGAAAAGCCGAAAAGAAAGCGGAGA